Molecule: ribosomal RNA, 103 nt
Filed under: Acanthosepion pharaonis
Lineage: Eukaryota; Metazoa; Mollusca; Cephalopoda; Sepiida; Sepiidae
Source: RNAcentral
ACAGCCACAUCAUGUUGAAACACCAGUUCUCAUACGAUCAUCAAAGUUAAGCAACAUUGAGCCUGGUCAGUACCUAGAUGGGUGACCAUUUGGGAACACUGGA